This 482-nucleotide ribosomal RNA is filed under the name uncultured bacterium. RNAcentral describes it as "partial 16S ribosomal RNA". It matches the Rfam family "Bacterial small subunit ribosomal RNA", at positions 30 to 507 of the family's 1533-position model. The record is from RNAcentral.
AUUGAACGCUGGCGGCAUGCUUUACACAUGCAAGUCGAACGGUAACAGGCCGCAAGGUGCUGACGAGUGGCGAACGGGUGAGUAAUGCAUCGGAACGUGCCCAGCCGUGGGGGAUAACUACUCGAAAGAGUAGCUAAUACCGCAUACGAUCUAUGGAUGAAAGCGGGGGACCGUAAGGCCUCGCGCGAUUGGAGCGGCCGAUGUCAGAUUAGGUAGUUGGUGGGGUAAAGGCUCACCAAGCCAACGAUCUGUAGCUGGUCUGAGAGGACGACCAGCCACACUGGGACUGAGACACGGCCCAGACUCCUACGGGAGGCAGCAGUGGGGAAUUCUGGACAAUGGGCGCAAGCCUGAUCCAGCAAUGCCGCGUGCAGGAAGAAGGCCUUCGGGUUGUAAACUGCUUUUGUACGGAACGAAACGGCUCUGGUUAAUACCCGGGGCUAAUGACGGUACCGUAAGAAUAAGCACCGGCUAACUACGUG